GAUGAACGCUAGCUACAGGCUUAACACAUGCAAGUCGAGGGGAAACGGCAUUAAGUGCUUGCACUUUUUGGACGUCGACCGGCGCACGGGUGAGUAACGCGUAUCCAACCUUCCCAUGACUAAGGGAUAACCUGCCGAAUGGCAGACUAAUACCUUAUGGUCUUCACUGUCGGCAUCAGAUGUGUAGUACAGAUGUAUCGGUUAUGGAUGGGGAUGCGUCUGAUUAGCUUGUUGGCGGGGUACCGGCCCACCAAGGCAACGAUCAGUAGGGGUUCUGAGAGGAAGGGCCCCCACAGUGGAACCGGGACACGGUCCAAAGUCCUACGGGAGGCAGCAGUGAGGAAUAUUGGUGAAGGGGCGAGAGCCUGAACCAGCCAAGUAGCGUGCAGGAUGACGGCCCUAUGUGUUGUAAACUGCGUUUGUAUGGGGAUAAAGGCAAGCACGUGUGAGUGUUUGCAGGUACCAGACGAAUAAGGACCGGCUAAUUCCGUG
This 492-nucleotide ribosomal RNA is filed under the name uncultured bacterium. Its description in RNAcentral is "partial 16S ribosomal RNA". It matches the Rfam family "Bacterial small subunit ribosomal RNA", at positions 28 to 507 of the family's 1533-position model. The record is from RNAcentral.